GCCUCUGGCUUUUCAUUUCCUAAACUAUGACAAGAAAGUACAAAGGAACUCAAGCUGAUUACUAAAAGUCAGUCCAUGUUUGUAAGUAGAAGUUUCUGCAGAAAGUCAUGAAAUGUUAGUGAAAAUAGUUCAACAUCAGCGUAAUGAACUACAAUAAACUUUAGCCCAAUCUUGAUGUGAGGAUGUGUGUAAUUUGGCAUUUGUUGGUAGGAGAAAUUAUGUCAUCAACUUUAAGUUUCUUAUUAGAAGGCAGGUAGUAGGAAAUUUAUCAACUUGAAAUUUGUGUAACUAGUACACAUUGUUAAAGUCCCCUGGAUACCACACA
This 325-nucleotide unclassified non-coding RNA is filed under the name Hevea brasiliensis (rubber tree). Lineage: Eukaryota; Viridiplantae; Streptophyta; Magnoliopsida; Malpighiales; Euphorbiaceae. The record is from RNAcentral.